CAGACGCCAUUUUGGCCCCAGAGGUGCUUCUGGGAAGAGUUGCGCGCGGAGCUUCACUUUGCCGGCCUGUGAGGUACGGCCCUUUCUGGUAGCUGGGGUUUCCAGGGCGAAGCGUCCUUGCCUGCCGCUGCCGACGACUUCUCCGGACUCUGGGACCGGGCAGACGCGCGGCGCCGCCGAGGGAGGUCACCCCGCCAGGAAGGACGUGACGGGGGCGGCGCGUGUCGCGGACACUCCCCGCCGAGAGCCCGCCUGCCAUGGACUCGGAGUACUACAGCGGUGACCAGUCAGAUGAUGGUGGUGCUACCCCAGUACAGGACGAGCGGGAUUCAGGAUCAGAUGGUGAGGAUGAUGUAAAUGAGCAGCACUCUGGAUCUGACACUGGAAGUAUAGACCGGCAUUCAGAGAAUGAAACUAGUGAUCGAGAAGAUGGCUUGAACAAGAGACAUAAUGGAACAGACUCUGAGAAUGAUAAGCCCUCCAAUCUUAAUGCCAGUGACUCGGAAAGUGAGGAACUUCACAGGCCAAAAGACAGUGACUCUGAAUCUGAGGAGCAUGCAGAGUCUCCUGCCAGUGACUCUGAAAACGAAGAUGUCAACCAGCAUGGGAGCGACUCUGAAAACGAAGAGCUUCUCAAUGGGCACGCAAGUGACUCCGAAAAGGAAGAGGUUAGAAAACCUGCUGCCAGUGACUCUGAAGCUGAGGACACUCUGCAGCCUCAGGUCAGCGAGUCUGACAGCGAAGAUCCCCCAAGACCCCAGGCCAGUGACUCAGAAAAUGAGGAGCCUCCCAAACCUCGGAUCAGUGAUUCAGAAAGUGAGGAGCUCCCCAAACCUCGGAUCAGUGACUCAGAAAGUGAGGAUCCUUCAAGGCCACAGGCCAGUGACUCGGAAAGCGAGGAGCUCCCCAAACCCCGAGUCAGCGACUCGGAAAGUGAGGAUCCUCCAAGGCCACAAGCUAGUGACUCGGAAAGCGAGGAGCUCCCCAAACCCCGAGUCAGCGACUCGGAAAGUGAGGAUCCUCCAAGGCCACAGGCCAGUGACUCGGAAAGCGAGGAGCUCCCCAAACCCCGAGUCAGCGACUCGGAAAGCGAGGAGCCUCAGAAAGGACCUGCUAGUGAUUCGGAAGCUGAGGAUGUCUCCAGACACAAAGACAAGCCCGAGUCAGAUGAUAGUGAUGGAGAGAGUAAGAGGGAAGAUUCGGAAAUGCAGAAUGAGUCAGAGGGCCAUGCAGACAGAAAAAGACUCCACAGCUCUGACAGUGAGGAGGAAGGACCGAAAAGGCAGAAAAUGGACAGUGAUGAAGAUGAAGAAAAGGAGGGAGAUGAGGAGAAAGUAGCAAAGCGGAAGGCUGCUGUGCUCUCUGAUAGUGAAGACGAAGAAAAAGCAACGGCAAAGAAGAGUCGAGUUGUCUCUGAUGCUGACGACUCUGAUAGUGAUGUUGUAUCAGACAAAUCAAGUAAAAGAGAGAAGACAGUAGCAUCUGACAGUGAAGAGGACGUGGGGAAAGAAGAAUCGUCUGUAAAGAAGAGUGAAGAGAAGGAUCUGUUUGGGAGUGAUAGUGAAUCAGGCAAUGAGGAAGAAAAUCUUAUUGCAGAUAUAUUUGGAGAAUCUGGUGAUGAAGAAGAAGAGGAAUUUACAGGGUUUAACCAAGAAGAUUUGGAGGAAGAGAAGAGUGAAACACAGCUAAAAGAAGCGGAAGAUUCCGACUCUGAUGAUAACAUAAAGAGAGGAAAGCAUAUGGACUUCCUGUCAGAUUUUGAGAUGAUGUUACAACGGAAAAAGAACAUGUGUGGCAAACGCAGACGAAAUCGAGAUGGGGGCACUUUUAUUAGUGAUGCAGAUGACGUUGUGAGUGCCAUGAUCGUAAAGAUGAAUGAAGCUGCGGAGGAAGACAGGCAAUUGAAUAAUCAAAAAAAGCCAGCACUGAAAAAAUUAACUUUAUUGCCUACUGUGGUUAUGCACCUUAAAAAGCAGGACCUUAAAGAAACAUUUAUUGACAGUGGCGUGAUGUCUGCCAUCAAAGAAUGGCUCUCACCUCUGCCGGACAGGAGUUUGCCUGCACUGAAGAUUCGGGAGGAGCUGUUGAAGAUUCUGCAAGAGCUACCUAGUGUGAGCCAGGAGACCCUGAAGCAUAGUGGGAUUGGACGAGCAGUGAUGUAUCUGUAUAAACACCCUAAGGAAUCAAGGUCCAACAAGGAUAUGGCAGGGAAAUUAAUCAACGAGUGGUCUCGGCCUAUAUUUGGUCUCACCUCAAACUAUAAAGGAAUGACAAGAGAAGAAAGGGAGCAGAGGGAUCUAGAGCAAAUGCCUCAGCGACGGAGACUGAGCAGCACUGGUGGUCAGACACCGCGAAGAGACUUGGAGAAGGUGCUGACAGGAGAGGAAAAGGCUCUUAGACCUGGAGAUCCUGGCUUCUGUGCCCGCGCUAGAGUUCCAAUGCCAUCAAACAAGGACUAUGUCGUCAGGCCCAAGUGGAAUGUAGAAAUGGAGUCAUCCAGGUUUCAGGCAACCUCCAAGAAAGGUAUCAGUCGACUGGAUAAACAGAUGAGAAAGUUCACAGAUAUCAGGAAAAAAAGCAGAUCUGCACAUGCAGUGAAAAUCAGCAUCGAAGGCAAUAAAAUGCCAUUGUGACCUUGCCUGGGACACGUCCCCAUCUCUAAAUGCACAAUGGACUAUCAAGAAAGAAGAUACUUUUCAAUGUUUAAGCGUGUCUCUACCUGUGGUCGUAGGACUAACGUUUUUCUCCGUUGUAUUUAAGACCAGUUGUUGUCUACUUUGUACAGAAGAAUACUACUCCUGCUUCUAUAAACUACAGGUCAGCCAGUCUCUACUUCCUCCAGACAGCUGGUCUAAGUCUUCUUUGCAGCUUGGCCUCUCUCAGUCAUCUUUGCAGCUUGGCUCAUCCGAGAGUGACGCUCAGCCGACCUUAUUUCUGACUGAAAUGAAAGAUAAAGAUGUGAGCUCUCAGCUGCUGCUCCUGCCUGCCACCUGCUACCUGAAAAAUUUCUGUACCCUGAUAUUAAGCCUCUCUGCUGACACUGUAAUCCAAAUCAAACCGAAUUAAGAAUUAAAAGUCUGGGUUUAAUGAGUAAAA
This is an RNA transcript of Peromyscus eremicus (cactus mouse), 3096 nucleotides long. It is a transcript of the gene named interacts with SUPT6H, CTD assembly factor 1, with no coding region annotated. The transcript has 16 exons. The record is from RefSeq and is a predicted model, not a curated record. Lineage: Eukaryota; Metazoa; Chordata; Mammalia; Rodentia; Cricetidae.